CAUCUAAGUACCCCGAGGAAAAGAAAUCAACCGAGAUUCCCCCAGUAGCGGCGAGCGAACGGGGAGCAGCCCAGAGCCUGAAUCAGUGUGUGUGUUAGUGGAAGCGUCUGGAAAGGCGCGCGAUACAGGGUGACAGCCCCGUACACAAAAAUGGACAAGCUGUGAGCCCGGUGCGUAGGGCGGGACACGUGGUA
This 194-nucleotide ribosomal RNA is filed under the name Escherichia coli. RNAcentral describes it as "partial 23S ribosomal RNA". It matches the Rfam family "Bacterial large subunit ribosomal RNA", at positions 199 to 431 of the family's 2925-position model. Lineage: Bacteria; Pseudomonadati; Pseudomonadota; Gammaproteobacteria; Enterobacterales; Enterobacteriaceae. The record is from RNAcentral.